Molecule: long non-coding RNA, 332 nt
Organism: Schistocerca piceifrons (Central American locust)
Lineage: Eukaryota; Metazoa; Arthropoda; Insecta; Orthoptera; Acrididae
Exons: 3
Source: RefSeq, a predicted model, not a curated record
CUCAGUGCUACGUACACCGGUCGCAGGCGCGCGCUCACGUACUACCUAGCAGGCGCACACUCGCGCGCGCGAGGCUGCGCUCGCUCAGCAGACGGCUUGCUUGCAGGUUAACCUGAAGACUGCACCUGAGCGAUGGUAUUCACUGCUACUGUGUCCACAAGACGCACCCAGACCUCAUAGAACCGGCUGUCAGCCCGAACAUUGAGAUGCAGCUGGCAGUGGUGAGGGCGGUGCUGUUAGUGGCGCUGGUGCUGGUGGGUGGUGGCGGGUGCUCGCAGCACUCACGGCCGCCGUCGUGCUCUGCGCAGCUGGGUUCGCUGCACAGCGUGGUG